GCACUGCUGAUUAGUUCCAGACUAGGACGAAACGGCCGUCCAGUGC
Molecule: non-coding RNA, 46 nt
Filed under: Schistosoma mattheei
Lineage: Eukaryota; Metazoa; Platyhelminthes; Trematoda; Strigeidida; Schistosomatidae
Source: RNAcentral